UUGACAGAUUGAGAGCUCUUUCUCUGAUUCUGUGGGUGGUGGUGCAUGGCCGUUCUUAGUUGGUGGAGUGAUUUGUCUGGUUAAUUCCGAUAACGAACGAGACUCUGGCCUACUAAAUUUGCCACUGAUCUCCUCAUGAUGAGCUGCCCAUGUCUGCGUCUACCUAGAUGGUUAAUCGGAUGACCCGGCAAUUACUAGAACGCUAGCAGAUUUGAGGUCUGUGCAUGCCCAUGAUGCCCA
Molecule: ribosomal RNA, 240 nt
Filed under: Vermiliopsis striaticeps
Lineage: Eukaryota; Metazoa; Annelida; Polychaeta; Sabellida; Serpulidae
Description: partial small subunit ribosomal RNA
Rfam family: Eukaryotic small subunit ribosomal RNA
Source: RNAcentral